This 730-nucleotide long non-coding RNA is filed under the name Ananas comosus (pineapple). RNAcentral describes it as "long non-coding RNA (ACOM_LNC011703)". The record is from RNAcentral. Lineage: Eukaryota; Viridiplantae; Streptophyta; Magnoliopsida; Poales; Bromeliaceae.
UCUCACACUGCCCCCCUAUAGUUUAAAAUGUGUCAAUUUGCUCCCCUGUGGUUUCUUUUUUCUCUUUUUUUUAUCAAUUUCAUUAUUUUUUUUCUUAAAUAAGUGAUAAAGUUAAAAUUAAAGGGUACUAAAGUGAAUAUUUGAUAAAUCGAGAUGGGUAUAUGAAGUUUUUUGUAUAUAAUUUAAUGAAAUAUUAAUGAAAAAGCUAUCGAAAAGAUAAAAACGAAACCACAUGGGGGCAAUUUGAUACAUUUGAAACCACAGGGGGGCAAAGUGAGAAACUACGAAACCACAUGGGGAUUUUCGAAGUUUUCCCCUUUUAUUAAUAUAUUUUUUUACAAGUAUUUUUAUUUAUUUUUAUACAAGUAUAUAGAAUUGAGCUCCUAUAUUUUUGAAAGUACCAAAUCAUUGGUGCUUGUAAAUUUUCGGCCAUUAGAUAAAGGAAUGUGCAGUUAGGAUGAUAGUGGUUCCGUACGGUUAAGUGGGUAGUUGGUUGAAUAGUAUAAUCUAAUGAAUGAAAAUUAAUCAAAGAAAUAAAUCUAACGGAAAAAAAAAUGACAAGUAUCAAGUGUUUGAUGCUUUUAAAAGCACCAUAACCGAACUCCAAGUAUAUAUAUAUAUUUAUUACUUACUUAAUUUAUUAUUUAUUUAUAACUAUUUAUUUAUCUAUAGAUAUUUAUUAUUAUUAUUAUUAUUAUUAUUAAUUAGUGGAUGAUUCAAUGUCUCUCGU